This 22-nucleotide microRNA is filed under the name Parasteatoda tepidariorum (common house spider). Its description in RNAcentral is "pte-miR-11938-5p". Lineage: Eukaryota; Metazoa; Arthropoda; Arachnida; Araneae; Theridiidae. The record is from miRBase by way of RNAcentral.
UGUCUAAGAAGUUUAAGUGUCC